GACGAACGCUGGCGGCGUGCCUAAUACAUGCAAGUAGAACGCUGAAGAGAGGAGCUUGCUCUUCUUGGAUGAGUUGCGAACGGGUGAGUAACGCGUAGGUAACCUGCCUUGUAGCGGGGGAUAACUAUUGGAAACGAUAGCUAAUACCGCAUAACAAUGGAUGACACAUGUCAUUUAUUUGAAAGGGGCAAUUGCUCCACUACAAGAUGGACCUGCGUUGUAUUAGCUAGUAGGUGAGGUAAUGGCUCACCUAGGCGACGAUACAUAGCCGACCUGAGAGGGUGAUCGGCCACACUGGGACUGAGACACGGCCCAGACUCCUACGGGAGGCAGCAGUAGGGAAUCUUCGGCAAUGGGGGCAAGCCUGACCGAGCAACGCCGCGUGAGUGAAGAAGGUUUUCGGAUCGUAAAGCUCUGUUGUAAGUCAAGAACGGGUGUGAGAGUGGAAAGUUCACACUGUGACGGUAGCUUACCAGAAAGGGACGGCUAACUACGUG
RNAcentral lists this ribosomal RNA (497 nucleotides) under uncultured bacterium. RNAcentral describes it as "partial 16S ribosomal RNA". It matches the Rfam family "Bacterial small subunit ribosomal RNA", at positions 28 to 507 of the family's 1533-position model. The record is from RNAcentral.